UACAUAGGUUAACAGAGCAAACCGGGGGAACUGAAACAUCUAAGUACCCCGAGGAGAAGAAAUCAACCGAGAUUCCGGUAGUAGCGGCGAGCGAACCUGGAUUAGCCCUUAAGCACUCGGUGAAGUAGGUGAACAAGCUGGAAAGCUUGGCGAUACAGGGUGAUAGCCCCGUAACCGACGCUUCAUCGAGCGUGAAAUCGAGUAGGGCGGGACACGUGAUAUCCUGUCUGAAUAUGGGGGGACCAUCCUCCAAGGCUAAAUACUCCUGACUGACCGAUAGUGAACCAGUACCGUGAGGGAAAGGCGAAAAGAACCCCUGUGAGGGGAGUGAAAUAGAACCUGAAACCGUGUACGUACAAGCAGUAGGAGCACCUUCGUGGUGUGACUGCGUACCUUUUGUAUAAUGGGUCAGCGACUUAUAUUCAGUGGCAAGGUUAACCGUAUAGGGGAGCCGUAGCGAAAGCGAGUCUUAACUGGGCGCUCAGUCUCUGGAUAUAGACCCGAAACCGGGUGAUCUAGCCAUGGGCAGGUUGAAGGUUGAGUAACAUCAACUGGAGGACCGAACCGACUAAUGUUGAAAAAUUAGCGGAUGACUUGUGGCUAGGGGUGAAAGGCCAAUCAAACUCGGAGAUAGCUGGUUCUCCCCGAAAGCUAUUUAGGUAGCGCCUCGGACGAAUACUACUGGGGGUAGAGCACUGUUAAGGCUAGGGGGUCAUCCCGACUUACCAACCCUUUGCAAACUCCGAAUACCAGUAAGUACUAUCCGGGAGACACACGGCGGGUGCUAACGUCCGUCGUGGAGAGGGAAACAACCCAGACCGCCAGCUAAGGUCCCAAAGUAUUGCUAAGUGGGAAACGAUGUGGGAAGGCUCAGACAGCUAGGAUGUUGGCUUAGAAGCAGCCAUCAUUUAAAGAAAGCGUAAUAGCUCACUAGUCGAGUCGGCCUGCGCGGAAGAUGUAACGGGGCUAAGCA
Molecule: ribosomal RNA, 973 nt
Filed under: Vibrio cholerae
Lineage: Bacteria; Pseudomonadati; Pseudomonadota; Gammaproteobacteria; Vibrionales; Vibrionaceae
Description: partial 23S ribosomal RNA
Rfam family: Bacterial large subunit ribosomal RNA
Source: RNAcentral